GGUGGUUCUCAGGUGAUGCACCCUGGAAUUGGGCUCUCUUCUCUCUGGUUCCGGGUGUGUCACCCGAAAACCGCA
Myotis lucifugus (little brown bat) is the source of this 75-nucleotide non-coding RNA. The record is from Rfam. Lineage: Eukaryota; Metazoa; Chordata; Mammalia; Chiroptera; Vespertilionidae.